CGGAUCUUUCCAUCGUAUAACAGGAAAAAUUGAUCAAUACACAUUAAGCUUGAUAACACUGCAGAGUGCGCCCUCGUGGAUGCUCGGUUAAUCUCCCCAAACGAUGUGGAGGGGAUGAAUAGCGCAGGUCGCAGAACGGUGACAUAGCUUCGUAUCAUUCCUUCCGUGGUCUCCGAACCACUAACGUGCAAGUGAGUCUCGUACGGAAAAUAAUCCUUAUCCGUAGACAUCAUACAUCUCAAGUGAUAUCUUUACAAGUAGUUCAAGCGGUGGAAACAAUUUCUUCGUUCCCACUAGUCAGUUAUUUAUGUCAUCAAUAUCAGGAAUACGAAACAAAGUAAAGACGGGUGCCGUUCUCGUAGCCCGGAAGUACUGCAAAGGAACCGGAUUGACGGAUAUGUGAGAUAUGAAUAUGUCCGAGGAAAAUAUGCCAUUUCGAUUACACUCAACGUGUUAAUUAAACAUCCAACAUCCGAAAUAAAACUUUUCUAUUUACUUUGGCACUUCCUAUUCUUACGACGACACAUCCUACAUGAUUUUAUGAAGUCGGCGAGCUUGUUACAUUGAUAAUUGAAUUCACUUGAAAUCUUCCACUGGCGAGAAUCUUCCAAAAUUGACGACAGAAGCACAUAAUUACCUGGUUUAUGCAGAGAAUGUGACACCUCAUUAUCGUACCUCAUUAUUAUAGCAAUCAUCGAUCUUAAUAUUGGAUUUUAAUAAACAAGCACAUUGGAUUGUCAGAAGAGUGGUUCGAAAAGUCGUUGGCAAAUCUAUGCAAAGAAAGUGCACCGUUACCUGUUGCUGAGAGAUGAUGUACUCUUCAAUGUCUCCAUAUCGAUGUAUUGCAACAUAACUUUACCAUAGAGGAUGCAUUACUGGAUGAGGAUCAACGAAAGAACAAAUUUAAAUAUGUUCCACUUGGAUCGCCGAAUAUUUAAUUAUCACGCUAAGCGUACGCGAAAAACUGUAUUUUCCCUGGACGUAUUAUAUUUAAGAUAUCAGUUAAUUCAGCUUCUUUGCUGUUAUUUUCUGGUAUUGGAAUUGC
Vespula pensylvanica (western yellowjacket) is the source of this 1045-nucleotide long non-coding RNA. RefSeq lists it as uncharacterized. The transcript has 5 exons. The record is from RefSeq and is a predicted model, not a curated record. Lineage: Eukaryota; Metazoa; Arthropoda; Insecta; Hymenoptera; Vespidae.